AGUGUAAAACAAAGGAAUUUCCAAACACAUUGGGUUCAAAUAUAAACUCAUUAGAGUUUAAUCAAGAUAUAACAUUUUAGAAACUAGGUUGUUAGGCUCCUAGUAUUGCUACAACUCCUAGCUUUGAUGUUUCACAAGAAAACCCAUGUGAAGUCACUCUUCAUGGGCUAACACCAUGCAAUUAUCUCAUUGGCCGCUUCUUCCAUUACAACCAGAACUAUUAUUUGCACCAAAAUUAGAAAAUUAAAACAAUCCUUUAUACAUGGAGUAGACGAUGAAGUAACCAUGUUAAAAAUGAACAACUCUUUCAAAGAAUUUUCGAAGAACGAACAGGAGCUAAAGAAUGAAACAAUAUGCAAGAACACAACUUUUUUAACCUAAGGGGGCAAAGGAAUAAAUUUUGUGUUAAAAGAAGACUUAAAUUGAAUUGUAACUUAUUUAAAGGAUUAAAAGAACGAUUUAAUCAUUUGAACCUAAGGGUCAAGGCCCUACCUUACCUAGAAGUCCCCCCUGUCAAUGAUAGAUGAAGCAGAAGGUACCUAAAUUGAAAUUUUAAGCACUUCAAUUUUGUAGGGACAAAACAUGUCAGUUGUAUUACUGUAUGUCUCUCUACAAAUUCCUGUAUUAUUCUCUCAUUUUGUAAUCGCGAGGGGAGCUUGUGAUGUUGGGCGGCGGUCUUAAGGUCGAUCGCUGGCUUUCUGAUUCUUCCUGCUCCUUUUCUCUGCUCCACUAUGCCGGCUGUCAAACUUAGGGUCGGUGUCGAUCACCCUUUUCCUCCACCAUCCUCCACUUUCUUUUCUCAUCCCUUCCUCUUUCCCCCUCCUCCUUUUUUCUCCUUUCCCCUUCCUUGCUGCCUCUCGUGGUUGCUUUCGGUGUGGUCUUUUAAUGGGUUGCCGUUGCUGACCUCGCCGGAAACAGCUCUCUCGCUUUCUCCCCCUUCACUUUUUCCUUUUUCCUUCUCCUUCCUUACCUCCACUCCUACCUCCUCCUCUUGCCGACCAUCCUCUGUUUUUCCAGUAAGUUUGUUCAGAGUAAUAUAUCUAGCCUAGGGUCUCCCGUGGCUCCUCCCUAAGGAGUUCUCUCGAGUCGGUUUGUACUCGCUUCUUCCUUGACGCAAGCUUUCAAGCCUUGUGUGUGAAGGAUUUUCUCGGGCAUCCCUGGAUUGCUUGUUUUGCUAGAGGUUAGCUUGAAGCAUGUCCAUUGCAACGAAGGUGAGGACAUGACGAGGGUUCUAUGCAUAAUGGCGACUUCUCUAUUCUAAUGGUUGAACACGGACAUAUAGAUGCAGGUUUUCGUCUUUGCUUCCUUUUGUUAGGCAAUUGUGGUUUGAUCUAAGCGUAGUAUGCUGUUUUUCCAUAAUCGAAUUGUAAACCUUUGAAUCUUGUCUUGUUCUGCUUGUACAGUUUGUAUUAGACUUUCUAUAAUUUGUUUUUUUUUUUUUUAUCA
Long non-coding RNA from Gossypium arboreum, 1446 nucleotides. RefSeq lists it as uncharacterized. Lineage: Eukaryota; Viridiplantae; Streptophyta; Magnoliopsida; Malvales; Malvaceae. The transcript is spliced from 2 exons. The record is from RefSeq and is a predicted model, not a curated record.